This 141-nucleotide ribosomal RNA is filed under the name uncultured eukaryote. RNAcentral describes it as "partial 18S ribosomal RNA". It matches the Rfam family "Eukaryotic small subunit ribosomal RNA", at positions 1299 to 1458 of the family's 1831-position model. The record is from RNAcentral.
UGGUGGAGUGAUUUGUCUGGUUAAUUCCGUUAACGAACGAGACCCCUGCCUGCUAAAUAGUUUGGCGAGUGAAUUUCACUGGCUUGAGCUUCUUAGAGGGACGUGCAUUCUAUUAGAUGCAGGAAGAUAGGGGCAAUAACA